This 389-nucleotide long non-coding RNA is filed under the name Chlamydomonas reinhardtii. RNAcentral's name for it is "long non-coding RNA (CREI_LNC000031)". The record is from RNAcentral. Lineage: Eukaryota; Viridiplantae; Chlorophyta; Chlorophyceae; Chlamydomonadales; Chlamydomonadaceae.
CCGAGAGGAGGGAGCGGCGCGGCAGUGAAACACACUGCGGCGUACCGACCGAGGCACACGUCGAGAAGUAGACAGCGCAACAGCAACGGCAGCGAAAACCUAGCGGUGGGAGGUCCGGAGUUGUGGGGGUUGUGCUGUGGCAGACCGGCCGACGCGCGCAGGCUGGGGGCGACCACGGGGGGCGGGCAUCGCUACCUGUGGCGCGCACCCGGCCAGCGUGCACCCUUGCCAUGCUGGCUUGUGGAGGCGGGGGGAAGAGGUGGAGGCUUAUACCUGGUAGCUUGGCAACCUAGCAUCAGCAGGUGACAUGAAAGUAGUGGAACUGUAGGUUUUCGUGUGUGCGGGAAGGGUUGUUUGUGUGUGCGUGCUCCCGGGAGUAUCGAGCACAC